AUACUUACCUGGCAGGGGAGAUACCAUGAUCACGAAGGUGGUUUUCCCAGGGCGAGGCUUAUCCAUUGCACUCCGGAUGUGCUGACCCCUGCAAUUUCCCCAAAUGUGGGAAACUCGACUGCAUAAUUUGUGGUAGUGGGGAACUGCGUUCGCGCUUUCCUCUG
This 164-nucleotide small nuclear RNA is filed under the name Macaca mulatta (Rhesus monkey). RNAcentral's name for it is "U1 spliceosomal RNA". It matches the Rfam family "U1 spliceosomal RNA". From Rfam's summary of the family: U1 is a small nuclear RNA (snRNA) component of the spliceosome (involved in pre-mRNA splicing). Its 5' end forms complementary base pairs with the 5' splice junction, thus defining the 5' donor site of an intron. The record is from Rfam by way of RNAcentral. Lineage: Eukaryota; Metazoa; Chordata; Mammalia; Primates; Cercopithecidae.